This 445-nucleotide ribosomal RNA is filed under the name uncultured bacterium. RNAcentral describes it as "partial 16S ribosomal RNA". It matches the Rfam family "Bacterial small subunit ribosomal RNA", at positions 354 to 796 of the family's 1533-position model. The record is from RNAcentral.
GUGAGGAAUAUUGGACAAUGGGCGCAAGCCUGAUCCAGCCAUGCCGCGUGCAGGAAGACGCAUCUAUGGUGUGUAAACUGCUUUUGUACGGGAAGAAACACUCCCUCGUGAGGGAGCUUGAUGGUACCGUAAGAAUAAGGAUCGGCUAACUCCGUGCCAGCAGCCGCGGUAAUACGGAGGAUCCAAGCGUUAUCCGGAAUCAUUGGGUUUAAAGGGUCCGUAGGCGGUUUAAUAAGUCAGUGGUGAAAGCCCAUCGCUCAACGAUGGAACGGCCAUUGAUACUGUUAGACUUGAAUUACAAGGAAGUAACUAGAAUAUGUAGUGUAGCGGUGAAAUGCUUAGAUAUUACAUGGAAUACCAAUUGCGAAGGCAGGUUACUACUUGUGGAUUGACGCUGAUGGACGAAAGCGUGGGGAGCGAACAGGAUUAGAUACCCCUGUAGUCC